CCGGCGACCGGCGCACGGGUGAGUAACACGUAUGCAACCUGCCCUCUUCAGGGGGACAACCUUCCGAAAGGGAGGCUAAUCCCGCGUAUAUCGGCUUCGGGCAUCCGAGAUCGAGGAAAGAUUCAUCGGAAGAGGAUGGGCAUGCGGCGCAUUAGCUAGACGGCGGGGUAACGGCCCACCGUGGCGACGAUGCGUAGGGGUUCUGAGAGGAAGGUCCCCCACACUGGUACUGAGACACGGACCAGACUCCUACGGGAGGCAGCAG
RNAcentral lists this ribosomal RNA (265 nucleotides) under uncultured bacterium. Its description in RNAcentral is "partial 16S ribosomal RNA". It matches the Rfam family "Bacterial small subunit ribosomal RNA", at positions 88 to 354 of the family's 1533-position model. The record is from RNAcentral.